Caenorhabditis elegans is the source of this 70-nucleotide small nucleolar RNA. Lineage: Eukaryota; Metazoa; Nematoda; Chromadorea; Rhabditida; Rhabditidae. The record is from Ensembl.
AAGCAGUGAUGAUUUUAUAGUUCAGCUUAUCUUCGGAUUUGAUGAGAAAUUUCGCCCCUAUCAGAGCUUU